UACGUAGGCAGCGAGCGUUGUUCGGAGUUACUGGGCGUAAAGGGCGCGUAGGCGGCCCGCUAAGUCGAACGUGAAAUCCCCGAGCUCAACUCGGGAACUGCGUCCGAUACUGGCGGGCUUGAAUCCGGGAGAGGGAUGCGGAAUUCCAGGUGUAGCGGUGAAAUGCGUAGAUAUCUGGAGGAACACCGGUGGCGAAGGCGGCAUCCUGGACCGGCAUUGACGCUGAGGCGCGAAAGCUAGGGGGAGCAAACAGG
RNAcentral lists this ribosomal RNA (254 nucleotides) under uncultured bacterium. RNAcentral's name for it is "partial 16S ribosomal RNA". It matches the Rfam family "Bacterial small subunit ribosomal RNA", at positions 524 to 776 of the family's 1533-position model. The record is from RNAcentral.